This 497-nucleotide ribosomal RNA is filed under the name uncultured bacterium. Its description in RNAcentral is "partial 16S ribosomal RNA". It matches the Rfam family "Bacterial small subunit ribosomal RNA", at positions 28 to 507 of the family's 1533-position model. The record is from RNAcentral.
GACGAACGCUGGCGGCGUGCCUAAUACAUGCAAGUUGAGCGCUGAAGGUUGGUACUUGUACCAACUGGAAGAGCAGCGAACGGGUGAGUAACGCGUGGGGAAUCUGCCUUUGAGCGGGGGACAACAUUUGGAAACGAAUGCUAAUACCGCAUAAAAACUUUAAACACAAGUUUUAAGUUUGAAAGAUGCAAUUGCAUCACUCAAAGAUGAUCCCGCGUUGUAUUAGCUAGUUGGUGAGGUAAAGGCUCACCAAGGCGAUGAUACAUAGCCGACCUGAGAGGGUGAUCGGCCACAUUGGGACUGAGACACGGCCCAAACUCCUACGGGAGGCAGCAGUAGGGAAUCUUCGGCAAUGGACGAAAGUCUGACCGAGCAACGCCGCGUGAGUGAAGAAGGUUUUCGGAUCGUAAAACUCUGUUGGUAGAGAAGAACGUUGGUGAGAGUGGAAAGCUCAUCAAGUGACGGUAACUACCCAGAAAGGGACGGCUAACUACGUG